CGCCUGGGGAGUACGGCCGCAAGGUUAAAACUCAAAUGAAUUGACGGGGGCCCGCACAAGCGGUGGAGCAUGUGGUUUAAUUCGACGCAACGCGAAGAACCUUACCUGGCCUUGACAUCCAGAGAGCUUUCCAGAGAUGGAUUGGUGCCUUCGGGAACUCUGAGACAGGUGCUGCAUGGCCGUCGUCAGCUCGUGUCGUGAGAUGUUGGGUUAAGUCCCGUAACGAGCGCAACCCCUAUCCCUGGUUGCUAGCAGGUAAUGCUGAGAACUCCAGGGAGACUGCCGGUGACAAACCGGAGGAAGGUGGGGAUGACGUCAGGUCAUCAUGGCCCUUACGGCCAGGGCUACACACGUGCUACAAUGGCGCGUACAGAGGGCUGCCAACUCGCGAGAGUGAGCCAAUCCCUUAAAACGCGUCGUAGUCCGGAUCGGAGUCUGCAACUCGACUCCGUGAAGUCGGAAUCGCUAGUAAUCGCGAAUCAGAAUGUCGCGGUGAAUACGUUCCCGGGCCUUGUACACACCGCCCGUCACACCAUGGGAGUGGAUCGCACCAGAAGUAGUUAGUCUAACCUUCGGGAGGACGAUUACCACGGUGUGGUUCAUGACUGGGGUGAAGUCGUAACAAGGUAACCGUA
RNAcentral lists this ribosomal RNA (635 nucleotides) under uncultured Marinobacter sp. RNAcentral describes it as "bacterial SSU rRNA". It matches the Rfam family "Bacterial small subunit ribosomal RNA", at positions 870 to 1504 of the family's 1533-position model. Lineage: Bacteria; Pseudomonadati; Pseudomonadota; Gammaproteobacteria; Pseudomonadales; Marinobacteraceae. The record is from RNAcentral.